This 448-nucleotide ribosomal RNA is filed under the name uncultured bacterium. RNAcentral's name for it is "partial 16S ribosomal RNA". It matches the Rfam family "Bacterial small subunit ribosomal RNA", at positions 330 to 795 of the family's 1533-position model. The record is from RNAcentral.
CCCAGACUCCUACGGGAGGCAGCAGUGGGGAAUAUUGCACAAUGGGGGAAACCCUGAUGCAGCGACGCCGCGUGAGUGAAGAAGUAUUUCGGUAUGUAAAGCUCUAUCAGCAGGAAAGAAAAUGACGGUACCUGACUAAGAAGCCCCGGCUAACUACGUGCCAGCAGCCGCGGUAAUACGUAGGGGGCAAGCGUUAUCCGGAUUUACUGGGUGUAAAGGGAGCGUAGACGGUGAAGCAAGUCUGAAGUGAAAGGCGGGGGCUCAACCCCCGGACUGCUCUUGGAACUGCGCGGCUGGAGUGCAGGAGGGGCAGGCGGAAUUCCUGGUGUAGCGGUGAAAUGCGUAGAUAUCAGGAGGAACACCGGUGGCGAAGGCGGCCUGCUGGACUGCGACUGACGUUGAGGCCCGAAAGCGUGGGGAGCAAACAGGAUUAGAUACCCGGGUAAAC